UACGGAGGGAGCUAGCGUUAUUCGGAAUUACUGGGCGUAAAGCGUACGUAGGCGGCUUUGCAAGUUAGAGGUGAAAGCCUGGAGCUCAACUCCAGAACUGCCUUUAAAACUGCAUCGCUUGAAUCCAGGAGAGGUGAGUGGAAUUCCGAGUGUAGAGGUGAAAUUCGUAGAUAUUCGGAAGAACACCAGUGGCGAAGGCGGCUCACUGGACUGGUAUUGACGCUGAGGUACGAAAGCGGGGGGAGCAAACAGG
Molecule: ribosomal RNA, 253 nt
Filed under: uncultured bacterium
Lineage: Bacteria
Description: partial 16S ribosomal RNA
Rfam family: Bacterial small subunit ribosomal RNA
Source: RNAcentral